Non-coding RNA from Schistosoma mattheei, 48 nucleotides. Lineage: Eukaryota; Metazoa; Platyhelminthes; Trematoda; Strigeidida; Schistosomatidae. The record is from Rfam.
AUCAAGCUGAAGAGUCACAAAUAGGACGAAAUGUGCGUCAAACUGGAU